Molecule: unclassified non-coding RNA, 148 nt
Organism: Callithrix jacchus (white-tufted-ear marmoset)
Lineage: Eukaryota; Metazoa; Chordata; Mammalia; Primates; Cebidae
Rfam family: Metazoan signal recognition particle RNA
About the family: The signal recognition particle (SRP) is a universally conserved ribonucleoprotein. It is involved in the co-translational targeting of proteins to membranes.
Source: Ensembl
GUUGGGUGUGGAGGCUCAUGCCUAUAAUCCUAGCACUUUGGGAAUCUGAGGCAGGAGGACUGCUUGAGCCCAGGAGUUCGAGGGUACAGUGAGCUAUGAUUGUGCCACUGUACUCUAGCCUGGGUGACAGAGCAAGACCCUGUCUCAA